This 284-nucleotide RNase P RNA is filed under the name Candidatus Blackburnbacteria bacterium RIFCSPHIGHO2_01_FULL_44_64. RNAcentral describes it as "RNase P RNA component class A". It matches the Rfam family "Bacterial RNase P class A". From Rfam's summary of the family: Ribonuclease P (RNase P) is a ubiquitous endoribonuclease, found in archaea, bacteria and eukarya as well as chloroplasts and mitochondria. Its best characterised activity is the generation of mature 5'-ends of tRNAs by cleaving the 5'-leader elements of precursor-tRNAs. Lineage: Bacteria; Candidatus Blackburniibacteriota. RNAcentral also lists the same sequence under 2 other names. The record is from RNAcentral.
CUAGGAUCCGGAAUGAUUACUCCCGAUUUAAUCGAGAGAGGAAAGUCCAGGCAGCAGGAAGCAGGGUGCCCCGCGUAAGCGGGGGCGGGUAACCGCCAGUUAGAGCAACAGAGACUAUGUCGGUCUAUUUACCAUAAAGGUCGAUAGAUACGAGUGAAAAGGGCAAUCCUCCCCGCUGCAACCUCCGAAAGGUGCGUUAUUACCAGCUUCCGGAAGCACCAAAGCGAGGGCAAAGACAGAUUAUCAUUUAGAAACAGAACCUGGCUUACCAGGAUCCUUAGGAC